RNAcentral lists this ribosomal RNA (497 nucleotides) under uncultured bacterium. RNAcentral's name for it is "partial 16S ribosomal RNA". It matches the Rfam family "Bacterial small subunit ribosomal RNA", at positions 28 to 507 of the family's 1533-position model. The record is from RNAcentral.
GAUGAACGCUGGCGGCGUGCCUAAUACAUGCAAGUCGAGCGAACAGACGAGGAGCUUGCUCCUCUGACGUUAGCGGCGGACGGGUGAGUAACACGUGGAUAACCUACCUAUAAGACUGGGAUAACUUCGGGAAACCGGAGCUAAUACCGGAUAAUAUAUUGAACCGCAUGGUUCAAUAGUGAAAGACGGUCUUGCUGUCACUUAUAGAUGGAUCCGCGCUGCAUUAGCUAGUUGGUAAGGUAACGGCUUACCAAGGCAACGAUGCGUAGCCGACCUGAGAGGGUGAUCGGCCACACUGGAACUGAGACACGGUCCAGACUCCUACGGGAGGCAGCAGUAGGGAAUCUUCCGCAAUGGGCGAAAGCUUGACGGAGCAACGCCGCGUGAGUGAUGAAGGUCUUCGGAUCGUAAAACUCUGUUAUUAGGGAAGAACAAAUGUGUAAGUAACUAUGCACAUCUUGACGGUACCUAAUCAGAAAGCCACGGCUAACUACGUG